Molecule: long non-coding RNA, 1089 nt
Organism: Cyprinus carpio (common carp)
Lineage: Eukaryota; Metazoa; Chordata; Actinopteri; Cypriniformes; Cyprinidae
Exons: 4
Source: RefSeq, a predicted model, not a curated record
UGAAUCAGUUCGCGAUUCAGUUUGAAUCAUUCUGCCAGCUCAGUCGGGCGUUUAAUCUUUUUGAGUGGUUUCUCUAUAAUUAAAACGUUAACGAGCGACCUUAAAAGACAAAAGACACGAAAUGCGAUAGACAAAGUGGAAAUUCACCUAGAAUCCAUCGAAACCAAACAUGCAAAAGUGUCAUGCGAUGAAAAAGGCGUUUAUGAAGUUCAACACCUGCACCUGCAGCUUGUGAACGACCUCAGCCGGUGUCUUAGCGAUCAUCUCCCCUCCAUGUUUGCCCAAUGAGAUGUGCUGAAGAGAUGAGCCGAAUGGCCUCCCACCCCAUACUUAUCUGCCAGAGCCUGCGCUCCAUUUCCAGCGCACAAAAGAAAUUAUUAGAGCCGAGAACCUACGCAGGGUGCAGUGCUGAAAAGGAAGAAGAAUUAGCAAGUCUAAGUGUGUGCAGAGAGAGUGAGAGAGGAACGACUGCAGGUCUGGCACAGGUCACCUUCAUAGAUUGAAAGGGAUGAGAGUCACCUGGGCCCAUAUGCAACAGAAAUCUGAAUGGUCAGGGGUUUUGUUCAGCCACUCAUUUCUAAAGCUGGGAUCCUUCAGACAGAUAUGCAGAGAGUUAGGUGCGGCACACAUCCAGGAACUGCUCAAGUGGCAAAGAUGCCAUGCCAUCCAUCAGGCACUGACAGGCAGGUGGCCAAGCCUUUGGUAAGGAAUGCCAGUGAUCUGUAAACCACCAAAUGAGAGACGCACGUGGGCCCUGGGGGCGAAGAGGGGCCUCCCCGCAUGACUCACUCUUAUGCAGAUGGAGAAGCGUAUCAUUACAUUCUCUGUGGCGAAUGACUGAUUUGACACAUUACAGAGGUGUUAGCCUGGUUAUAUGAAUAAACCUAAAGUCUUGCUUGUGGAAUUACUUGAGUAAAAUCCUAGAAGUUAGCUUGACAGUUUUUAUUUUUGUCUGUGUUUGAGUUGUGUGCUCUCUUUAUUAGAUCCUGUUUUCUCCCACGCUGGAUCUCAUUCAGAGUCCAGAUAGUUGUAUGUCAAACCUGUGCCUAAACAUUACUCAAACCAUACAUACACAUGCCAUAUGCAGGA